Molecule: non-coding RNA, 920 nt
Organism: Jatropha curcas
Lineage: Eukaryota; Viridiplantae; Streptophyta; Magnoliopsida; Malpighiales; Euphorbiaceae
Source: RefSeq, a predicted model, not a curated record
CCUAUCCUCAGCCAUAACCUCCUAUUUCUUGCUUAGAGGUUGUUUUGGUGCCUUUUUCCUUCCUAUCCUCAGCCAUAACCUCCUAUUUCUUGCUUAGAGGUUGUUUUGGUGCCUUUUUCCUUCCUAUCCUCAGCCAUAACCUCCUAUUUCUUGCUUAGAGGUUGUUUUGGUGCCUUUUUCCUUCCUAUCCUCAGCCAUAACCUCCUAUUUCUUGCUUAGAGGUUGUUUUGGUGCCUUUUUCCUUCCUAUCCUCAGCCAUAACCUCCUAUUUCUUGCUUAGAGGUUGUUUUGGUGCCUUUUUCCUUCCUAUCCUCAGCCAUAACCUCCUAUUUCUUGCUUAGAGGUUGUUUUGGUGCCUUUUUCCUUCCUAUCCUCAGCCAUAACCUCCUAUUUCUUGCUUAGAGGUUGUUUUGGUGCCUUUUUCCUUCCUAUCCUCAGCCAUAACCUCCUAUUUCUUGCUUAGAGGCGGUACGGCAUUAGCAUAUUUCACGUGUACAUGCAAAAGCUUCUGUGCAUUUUGUACUACAUGAUCAUGUCUAAGUUCUGGUUUCUUCUAUGUAAAAUUGUUGAAACGCCCUCGCUUUGGAAGAAAAAGAAGUCUUUCAAUUGGGUUUCAGAACUCAUCUCUGUGAAGCUUUUUGAAAUCAGUUUGGCCAUUUCGUAUCCGGACAGAACAAAGGAUUCUCAUUUCCUUUGGAAAAACUUGGGCAUUAGGAUUCUAAUUUCCUUGGGAAAAACUUGCGAUGCCCAAAAGCGAUUCAACAUUUGCUUUCCUGCAGUCUAAAAUGUUUCCCUGACUAGUCCCUGCAUACGCUUGUAAUUGUACAGAAAUUUAACGUUUCAAAUUAGAUAUGCAGGCGCCGGUAUUAUAAUUUGUAUUGACAAGUAAAUUAAAAUUUCAUGCCUUAUUGCUUGCGAGA